This 196-nucleotide ribosomal RNA is filed under the name uncultured bacterium. RNAcentral's name for it is "partial 16S ribosomal RNA". It matches the Rfam family "Bacterial small subunit ribosomal RNA", at positions 337 to 525 of the family's 1533-position model. The record is from RNAcentral.
UCCUACGGGAGGCAGCAGUGGGGAAUUUUGGACAAUGGGGGCAACCCUGAUCCAGCCAUUCCGCGUGAGUGAAGAAGGCCUUCGGGUUGUAAAGCUCUUUCGGCAGGAACGAAACGGCGGGCUCUAACAUAGCCUGUUAAUGACGGUACCUGAAGAAGAAGCACCGGCUAACUACGUGCCAGCAGCCGCGAUAAUA